GAUGAACGCUUGCUACAGGCUUAACACAUGCAAGUCGAGGGGAAACGACAUCGAAAGCUUGCUUUUGAUGGGCGUCGACCGGCGCACGGGUGAGUAACGCGUAUCCAACCUGCCCAUCACUUGGGGAUAACCUUGCGAAAGUAAGACUAAUACCCAAUGAUAUCUCUAGAAGACAUCUGAAAGAGAUUAAAGAUUUAUCGGUGAUGGAUGGGGAUGCGUCUGAUUAGCUUGUUGGCGGGGUAACGGCCCACCAAGGCAACGAUCAGUAGGGGUUCUGAGAGGAAGGUCCCCCACAUUGGAACUGAGACACGGUCCAAACUCCUACGGGAGGCAGCAGUGAGGAAUAUUGGUCAAUGGGCGAGAGCCUGAACCAGCCAAGUAGCGUGCAGGAAGACGGCCCUAUGGGUUGUAAACUGCUUUUAUAAGGGAAUAAAGUGAGAGUCGUGACUCUUUUUGUAUGUACCUUAUGAAUAAGGACCGGCUAAUUCCGUG
Molecule: ribosomal RNA, 492 nt
Filed under: uncultured bacterium
Lineage: Bacteria
Description: partial 16S ribosomal RNA
Rfam family: Bacterial small subunit ribosomal RNA
Source: RNAcentral